Molecule: ribosomal RNA, 948 nt
Filed under: Triticum aestivum (bread wheat)
Lineage: Eukaryota; Viridiplantae; Streptophyta; Magnoliopsida; Poales; Poaceae
Description: partial small subunit ribosomal RNA
Source: RNAcentral
AUGGCGGCGCUCGUGGAGCUCUUCACGAGAUCCUUGUCGUCCUCGACGCCCGUGGACUGGGAGGCGGAGGCCUACCCGGCGUACGGCGACUACGCCGUUCUCCCCAUCCUCGUCGCCUUCUUUCCCGCCCUGCGCUUCCUCCUCGACCGGUUCGUCUUUGAGAUAUUAGCAAGAAGACUUAUAUUUGGAAAAGGAUAUGACAAGCUUGCUGAAACAGACGAAAGGAGAAAGAAAAUCAAUAAAUUUAAGGAGUCGGCCUGGAAAUUUGUUUAUUUUCUUUCGGCAGAGGUCCUUUCAUUAUCUGUAACAUACAAUGAGCCAUGGUUUACAAACACCAGAUACUUCUGGGUAGGGCCUGGUGAGCAGCUCUGGCCUGAUCAAAAGAUGAAACUGAAGCUUAAGGCUGUAUACAUGUAUGCUGCUGGAUUUUACACAUAUUCCAUCUUUGCCCUUCUGUUCUGGGAAACAAGACGCAAGGAUUUUGGAGUCUCGAUGUCUCACCAUGUGGCGACUGUUGUUCUGAUUGUUAUGUCCUACAUUUGCAGAUUAUCUCGUGCUGGCUCGGUCAUUUUAGCCGUCCAUGAUGCGAGUGAUAUAUUCCUAGAGAUCGGAAAGAUGGCCAAGUAUAGUAGCUGUGAGGGGCUAGCUGUUGUAGCAUUUCUACUUUUUGUGGCUUCUUGGAUCCUUCUUCGGCUAAUAAUUUUCCCUUUCUGGAUCCUGAGAAGCACAAGCUAUGAAGUAGCUGUGAUCCUUGACAAGGAGAAAAAAGAAUUUUACAGCUCCGUAUACUACUAUCUUUUCAACAGUCUCCUGUUCUCACUUCUAGUCCUUCACAUAUAUUGGUGGGUACUGAUUUACCGAAUGCUAGUCAAACAAAUCCAAUCCAGAGGACGUGUUGGUGACGAUGUUCGAUCCGAUUCUGAGGGUGAAGAAGACCACGAAGAUUAA